AUGCGAUAAGUAAUGUGAAUUGCAGAAUUCAGUGAAUCAUCGAAUCUUUGAACGCACAUUGCGCCCGCCAGUAUUCUGGCGGGCAUGCCUGUUCGAGCGUCAUUUCAACCCUCAAGCACAGCUUGGUGUUGGGACUCGCGUUAAUUCGCGUUCCCCAAAUUGAUUGGCGGUCACGUCGAGCUUCCAUAGCGUAGUAGUAAAACCCUCGUUACUGGUAAUCGUCGCGGCCACGCCGUUAAACCCCAACUUCUGAAUGUUGACCUCGGAUCAGGUAGGAAUACCCGCUGAACUUAA
Molecule: unclassified non-coding RNA, 294 nt
Filed under: uncultured Fusarium
Lineage: Eukaryota; Fungi; Ascomycota; Sordariomycetes; Hypocreales; Nectriaceae
Description: partial contains 5.8S ribosomal RNA, internal transcribed spacer 2, and large subunit ribosomal RNA
Rfam family: 5.8S ribosomal RNA (bases 1-102)
Source: RNAcentral